This 93-nucleotide ribosomal RNA is filed under the name uncultured bacterium. RNAcentral's name for it is "partial 16S ribosomal RNA". It matches the Rfam family "Bacterial small subunit ribosomal RNA", at positions 1390 to 1482 of the family's 1533-position model. The record is from RNAcentral.
CCGCCCGUCACAUCACGAAAGCCAUUUGUACUAGAAGCCGGCAAUUCAACCGCAAGGAGAUAGCCAUCCAAGGUAUGAAUGGUGAUUGGGGUG